GACGAACGCUGGCGGCGUGCUUAACACAUGCAAGUCGAACGGAAAGGCCCUGCUUUUGUGGGGUGCUCGAGUGGCGAACGGGUGAGUAACACGUGAGUAACCUGCCCUUGACUUUGGGAUAACUUCAGGAAACUGGGGCUAAUACCGGAUAGGAGCUCCUGCUGCAUGGUGGGGGUUGGAAAGUUUCGGCGGUUGGGGAUGGACUCGCGGCUUAUCAGCUUGUUGGUGGGGUAGUGGCUUACCAAGGCUUUGACGGGUAGCCGGCCUGAGAGGGUGACCGGGGACAUGGGGACUGAGGUAGGGCCCAGACUGGUACGGGAGGCAGCAGGGGGGAAUAUUGCGGAGUGGGCGGGAGCGUGAGGCAGCAACGCCGGGUGCGGGAUGACGGCCUUCGGGUUGUAAACCGCUUUCGCCUGUGACGAAGCGUGAGUGACGGUAAUGGGUAAAGAAGCACCGGCUAACUACGUG
Molecule: ribosomal RNA, 468 nt
Filed under: uncultured bacterium
Lineage: Bacteria
Description: partial 16S ribosomal RNA
Rfam family: Bacterial small subunit ribosomal RNA
Source: RNAcentral